This 83-nucleotide transfer RNA is filed under the name Leptolyngbya sp. 'hensonii'. It matches the Rfam family "tRNA". From Rfam's summary of the family: Transfer RNA (tRNA) molecules are approximately 80 nucleotides in length. Their secondary structure includes four short double-helical elements and three loops (D, anti-codon, and T loops). Further hydrogen bonds mediate the characteristic L-shaped molecular structure. tRNAs have two regions of fundamental functional importance: the anti-codon, which is responsible for specific mRNA codon recognition, and the 3' end, to which the tRNAs corresponding amino acid is attached (by aminoacyl-tRNA synthetases). tRNAs cope with the degeneracy of the genetic code in two manners: having more than one tRNA (with a specific anti-codon) for a particular amino acid; and 'wobble' base-pairing, i.e. permitting non-standard base-pairing at the 3rd anti-codon position. The record is from Rfam by way of RNAcentral. Lineage: Bacteria; Bacillati; Cyanobacteriota; Cyanophyceae; Leptolyngbyales; Leptolyngbyaceae.
GGGGGCAUGGCGGAAUGGCAGACGCUACGGACUUAAAAUCCGUUGACCGCAAGGUCGUGUGGGUUCAAGUCCCACUGCCCCCA